Molecule: ribosomal RNA, 465 nt
Filed under: Vreelandella stevensii
Lineage: Bacteria; Pseudomonadati; Pseudomonadota; Gammaproteobacteria; Oceanospirillales; Halomonadaceae
Description: partial 16S ribosomal RNA
Rfam family: Bacterial small subunit ribosomal RNA
Source: RNAcentral
CCUACGGGAGGCAGCAGUGGGGAAUAUUGGACAAUGGGCGAAAGCCUGGUCCAGCCAUGCCGUGUGUGUGAAGAAGGCCUUCGGGUUGUAAAGCACUUUCAGUGGGGAAGAAAGCCUUGGGGCUAAUACCCUCGAGGAAGGACAUCACCCACAGAAGAAGCACCGGCUAACUCCGUGCCAGCAGCCGCGGUAAUACGGAGGGUGCGAGCGUUAAUCGGAAUUACUGGGCGUAAAGCGCGCGUAGGCGGUCUGAUAAGCCGGUUGUGAAAGCCCCGGGCUCAACCUGGGAACGGCAUCCGGAACUGUCAGGCUAGAGUGCAGGAGAGGAAGGUAGAAUUCCCGGUGUAGCGGUGAAAUGCGUAGAGAUCGGGAGGAAUACCAGUGGCGAAGGCGGCCUUCUGGACUGACACUGACGCUGAGGUGCGAAAGCGUGGGUAGCAAACAGGAUUAGAUACCCUGGUAGUC